GUGUUAUCUUCCGCAGCACAUAUCCUAAAAUUGGAAUGAUACAGAGAUUAGCACGGCUCCUACGCAAGGAUGACACGCAAGUUCGUGAAGCAUUCCAUAUUUUU
Choloepus hoffmanni (Hoffmann's two-fingered sloth) is the source of this 104-nucleotide small nuclear RNA. Lineage: Eukaryota; Metazoa; Chordata; Mammalia; Pilosa; Megalonychidae. The record is from Ensembl.